Molecule: unclassified non-coding RNA, 228 nt
Filed under: Arceuthobium vaginatum subsp. vaginatum
Lineage: Eukaryota; Viridiplantae; Streptophyta; Magnoliopsida; Santalales; Viscaceae
Description: ITS2
Source: RNAcentral
AUAAGUCAACUAAAUAUUUUAUCCAAGAUUUAUUGAUGGAUGGACUUAUUUGGUUGUGCGUGUUGUUCUCUCGUUCACUUAGCUUGUGUUCGGUUGGAUGAAAUAUUAGCAUCCUUGGCAUCAAAUGCCUUACAUGUUUUGGUCAACAUUGUAUGGUAUUGAUGUUGUCAAGUUAAAACUGAAAGGCCAAACAGAAUGCCGAUCAUAUUAUCAUGAAAUGAGAGAAAC